UGAAUAUUACAAUUGCUUUUGCACACAAAAGUCCUUGUCUUUAAUUUCCUAAAUCAAGCUUCAGACUAAUCUUUGACCACUUUGGAGUAUUUUUCUAAAAACUGCUUCGUGUGUUAUCAAUCAUUGUCUUGAUCCCUGACGAAACUUGAAAUAACUUCUGCCAGAUGUGAAGAGUGAUACAGCAAUAGCCUGCUAGGAAUGAAAUUGAGAAAUCUUUCUUAAUGCUUGCAUAAGACUAAUUCCUUGGUAGUGCAGAUGAGCCAGUGAAGGAAUAUCAGUAUGUGGAUUGCCAACUUUUCCCCUGUACCAUGUUUUUGCAAAAGGCAUCCAUAAACAUUUUUUUUAAAAUUUGGCAUUCAGAUUUAAAGUGAAAUGUGUAAAGCUGUAUGAUGGGUUGACUAAACCAAAGCUACUCUAUUCAUAGAUUUUGCUUCUGUCCUAUCUUUUCAUCUUUGCAAUUAGUUUCACUGUUUCUCUUUUUUUGUAUGCCAUUUCUUCUUUUAUGUUUUCUUUUCUCUUGUAGCAUUCGGCCUGUGUGGAAGUUCUUAUAGGAUUUGUAAUGCAGUCUUGUCAUUGAUGUUGAUAACCACAGGCAGUUCUGGCUCUC
This 607-nucleotide long non-coding RNA is filed under the name Linum usitatissimum (flax). RNAcentral's name for it is "long non-coding RNA (LUSI_LNC001921)". The record is from RNAcentral. Lineage: Eukaryota; Viridiplantae; Streptophyta; Magnoliopsida; Malpighiales; Linaceae.